CAGAGCAGGGAGACCCAAGCAGUCUACUUCCGAGGCAGGCCCUUCCCCGUGGCUGAGGCAGGGAGGGUCUCCUCAUGAGGACGUGGCUCUGCGACUUUACUUUCACUGGAAACGGAAGCUGUCUGUGUUUCCACCUUGCAUGCUUGUCGGGGGAUGUAGGCUGUUGAUGACCAGGAUGAAAAAUUUAUAUGGGGAGGUGUCAGGAGAACAUUUCAGGAGCCCGGGACUCCAACCUGCCGGCUCUUUCCAAGCUGGAAAUACCUUCUCCUGAGCCACGGUGAUGGACGUGAGGAGAGAAGGACUCAGGGCAGCGUCUGGGGUGCUGACCCCAGCCAUCGACGUGAGACGCUGGCCCUGCAGUGCAGCCCAGCCCCUCAGUGGUGAAUCAGUGCAUGUGGACACAGGUACCAAUAUCCCCUUUGCUUUCUUUUUAUGAAGAACUCUGUCUUUUAGGGAUUGUACUUACAUGCUACUGUCAGGGAGAUCUUCCACCCAUCUCAGGAACUGAAGGAUAAAUACUCAGCAACGUUUCAGCACAGUUGCCUCUUUUGUUUGUUAUAAAACAAAAUACAGCGGGCCAGUUUCCCAGCCAGUGGAAAAAUGCCUGUGUCUUGAUAGAAAUAGGCUUCGGUUUCAUGCAAAGGAAAUUUGAGCGAGGACAGGGCACACAGUCUGUACACAGCAGUUCCACGGUGCUGUGAUCGCUCUAAUAUUC
This 715-nucleotide long non-coding RNA is filed under the name Bos indicus x Bos taurus (hybrid cattle). RNAcentral's name for it is "lncRNA (ENSBIXG00000002528.1)". The record is from RNAcentral. Lineage: Eukaryota; Metazoa; Chordata; Mammalia; Artiodactyla; Bovidae.